AUUGAACGCUGGCGGCAUGCUUUACACAUGCAAGUCGAACGGUAACAGGCCGCAAGGUGCUGACGAGUGGCGAACGGGUGAGUAAUGCAUCGGAACGUGCCCAGUCGUGGGGGAUAACGCAGCGAAAGCUGUGCUAAUACCGCAUACGAUCUAUGGAUGAAAGCGGGGGACCGUAAGGCCUCGCGCGAUUGGAGCGGCCGAUGUCAGAUUAGGUAGUUGGUGGGGUAAAGGCUCACCAAGCCAACGAUCUGUAGCUGGUCUGAGAGGACGACCAGCCAAACUGGGACGGAGACACGGCCCAGACCCCUACGGGAGGCAGCAGUGGGGAAUUUUGGACAAUGGGCGCAAGCCUGAUCCAGCAAUGCCGCGUGCAGGAAGAAGGCCUUCGGGUUGUAAACUGCUUUUGUACGGAACGAAAAGGUUCGGGUUAAUACCCUGGGCCGAUGACGGUACCGUAAGAAUAAGCACCGGCUAACUACGUGCCAGCAGCCGCGGUAA
Molecule: ribosomal RNA, 498 nt
Filed under: uncultured bacterium
Lineage: Bacteria
Description: partial 16S ribosomal RNA
Rfam family: Bacterial small subunit ribosomal RNA
Source: RNAcentral